Papaver somniferum (opium poppy) is the source of this 4819-nucleotide long non-coding RNA. RefSeq lists it as uncharacterized. The record is from RefSeq and is a predicted model, not a curated record. The transcript is spliced from 2 exons. NCBI's taxonomy places the organism in Eukaryota, Viridiplantae, Streptophyta, Magnoliopsida, Ranunculales, Papaveraceae.
GCUUUUUUCAUGAAGAUUCUAGGCUUCUUAGCAGUCAAAGAAUACAGGAGAUUUUCCUUCCUGUUUCAUCAUCUUCUUCUUAUUGGAAGGUUUUGUUGUUGGUAACUUGGAUCUAUACAAAUGCAAAUAGAUGUGAGUCUUUUUUUGGUGAUGAUAUGAUUGAUUACUAUGGUGACUAAGAUUGUGGUUUUGUUGCUGAUCUUACAUACAUACAUGUCUGACUAUACGAAGAAGAUGGUAGAUAAAUUACUUCAGAACUUAUACUUGAAAUUUCUUAACCCUUAAAAAGAAGGAAAAAUUGGAAAACUGCCUCAACAUGAGAUGCAAUGUUGGAAAUCUGCCCCAACGUUAAAAAUAGUUGGAAAAAUGCCCCAUUUCGUUAACUUUGACAUCCAACCCAGUUAAGUCACAUGCGUAAAGCCACCAUCACCACCAGAACUACCAUUAAUAUCGCCGCUUCCACCACCAGAACCUUAAACAUGAACCCUAAACCCUCAAUACUGGAUUUUGAACCCUUAAUCGUGAAUUUUGAAGGAUGUAUUUGUCUUUUUAUUCGCGUGUGUGGGCUCACACAUGUGACUUAACAGAGUUUUUGACGGAAUGGGGCAUUUUUCCGAACUUUUAAAUGUUGAGGCAGAUUUCCAACAUUGCACCCCAUAUUGGGGCAUUUUCCCAAUUUUCCCUAAAAAGAACACAACAUGACUGACUAGGUCUAAUUACAAUAUGGAAAAUCAAGAUAGAUUAAGAAAAACAUAGAUCCAGCUUUAGUAAAGCGAAACAAGUCAUGGAUUCAUCAUGAAGAUAUUCUAAUUUGUGAUCAUCUACUGAUUUUUCCCUUGUUAGUAGUAUUUAGUAAAGAUCUGGCGGUGAUUGUGUAUCCACAAAACAACCUAAGCCUAAAUGCAUUCACACACUAGACUAUCUUGCUUAGCCAUGGAAUGUGCAGUUUUUAGUGUAUCCCUGCACAAUGGCAAAGAGAAGAUAGCAUUCACACACAGGCUAUCUGGCUAUCAAGUAGUGAAUGAUGCACAGAAUGCUCACAUAUUAGUUAUGUUAAAUUUGCAUACAAGCUUUUUACGGAGUAGAAAUGUUCUAGGCUGUUUUGAAAGCUUCUGGGUUUGAAAUUGAGAUUGGUUUUUGGGUCAUCUAGUUGUAAGGUGAUGGUGGGAUGGGUUCUAGGCUGUUUUGAAAGCUUCUGGGUUUGAAAUUGAGAUUGGUUUUUGGGUCAUCUAGUUGUAAGGUGAUGGUGGGAUGGCAGCUUUAGUAAGGAAUUGUAGUUGAAUCAAAAUUAAGGAUAUUCUAUUAAGUUUACAGAAUUACAGUAGAUUGAGUUUGAUAUUUUGCUCAUCUAUACUAUUGAACUGGAAGUUGCAGUGAAAAAUACAUUAUAUUCUGCAUGAUGUACUAUGCAUUUGGUGUGGUGUAUGCUAUCACAUCAGAAGCCUCAAAACUGUACCUUUGUAUCUAGUAUGAUUAUCUUCUUAGUGUUUAUUGCUGUUUUGGUUGAUUCCUAAUUGCAGUAUAUCAUAUUAUGCUUAUGUGUAAACGCUAAAGGUCAACGAGUGAAAAAAGUUGUGUCAAAGAAGGUUAGAAGCUUCUGGUUAUAUAAACCAACCGGCAAAGAGAGAGUUAUAGCUCAGAUGACCUAGUUAGCCUUGAAAUUUUAGUCACACAUUUCUCUUUAAAUUUGUUAUGGUACGUUACUCGUUGCAGUUGAAGUUUGUUAUCUUGUGUUGGACUUGCCUACAACAAAUGAAACCAGUACACUAGUUUUUUUGUUCCCUCUUUUUUCCCUAUAAUGAUGAAGACCAUAAGUUAAAUUAAUGGGAUGAGUUUUCUGGGAAUAGAAACAAGGCAGUUUUACGAGCAUAUGCCUGGAUAGUGUUCGUAAUGUGCCUCUGAUGACAUGAUCUUUACCAUAGUAACAUGUUCCUCCUAGGUUACUUGAUGUUCUGACCCUCUUUGCUUGGAUUGUAACUGAAAAAAUAACACCACCAUUAACAAAUUCGAAGCACUGAAUUUCAUGUUUGUUUAACUUUCUAUUCAUCAGUAAUUUCUCUAUCUCGUAUGUUCUCAUAUGGUAGUGACAUGGUAAUGGAUUGUUACGCAUGGAAGGGACAUGGCUUAUCACAAGCUUGCAUCUAAUCUUUAUCCAGUGAAGCAAGGCUAACGUAUUAGCCAGCAUAGCGACUUUGGUCGGUUCUUGUACUUUUUAGUAUUUAUUAAAAAUGUUGUGAUUCACAGGGGAACUUUGCUUAUGCCUCGUAUUUAUGGUAAGGAUUACUACAACUGAGACUAUGGUUGAAGUUCUCUUCUUCUCCGCUUGUUUUCUAUUUUCUGUGUGCAUGCUUCUAUUCUCUUUUGCAUCUUCAUCAUCUGGAGAUAACAAAACCUGGGACUAACUUAAGUUUUGAAGUACAUCCAAUUAGUCAUUCUUCUUUGAUAACUGUUUGUUUUGUGCAUGUAAAGUUUAAAUUCUUACAAUAAACAUGUGUUUUUAUCAAAAUGAAUAGAUAAACCUUUGUUUCAUUACAUGAGAUAACUAUCGCAGUGGGUUUUGUUUUCUCUUUUAUCAAAAGUGUUAGGAUCAACAUGGCUUGCUCACGCAAUCCUUAGACUCUAGGGUUUUAGUUUUCAGACACGAUAGGCUCCCUGCUAGCAUGCGAGCAAGACGCGUGCAAGUGGCGUGGUGCCUAUAUCACGGUUGUUUCUUCACAGUUUAAUGUAUAUACAGCUUAAUUGACUCGCUGGAAACAACCGUGAUGGGCGCCACACCACUUGCACGCGUAUUACUCGCGUGGUGGCAUGUAGCCUGUCGUAUUAGAACUAAAACCCUAGAUAAUGGGGAUUCCAGAACCUGUCUGGGUGAAAUGCGGGGUCUUUGACUUCAGAUCUUGCCACAUCCAAAUUGGCGAGUAACCCGUGUGAAUUCUAACAUGUUUGUAAUGGAUAUCUCUCGAUGGAUGAAAAGUUUACCCUGUGCUUCAGAUUUUCUUUUAUAGAUAAUGAUUACAUAAAUUGGAACUCCCGAUUUGCAUGGUUUUGAUAGAGAAGAUAGAGUGUCAAUUCAACCAAACAGCGGUAAGAAAACGCAUGUUUCGUUGGAGAAUUUUGGAUUUUCUUUAUCUUGAUGAAAUGAUGUAAACUGAAAGCUGCCUUUUUGAAGCGAGGAUGUACUAUCAAUCACCACCAUCCUGUUCGCAUGGACUUUAAACGCAAUGUUGUUGUAUUCCACAAGUAGUACUUGAUCCUAUUACUAUCAUUACAGAUUGCAUUCACCAACUAGAUUAAGUCAGUGAUACCUGUUCGGUUUUACCAGAUCCUUCAGCAUUGCCGUUCCCAGCCAGCCUCAUACCAACAUCAUUCAUAUAAAUGACCAACUGUAUCUUUCAUUUUGAUUAUCGUUCUUGACUGAGGUUGUGCCUUGGAUAGAGUAGAUAAUUUGGGAAGCAGAAAACCUGAAGAAGAAAAAGAGUUAGGUUCCACUAAUCCACUUUAAAGAUCUAAGGACGCCAAGUGACACAAGAAAAAAAAGUGAAAAAGACAGAAAACAGAGAAGAAACAGUACAUCUAAACCAAAACUUUAUUGCUUUGUCAUUAUUAUGAUUCCUUGUUGUACUUGCUGUUUUCCAGUCUUAGAAAAAACUGCCAAACACGGUACAGUUGAGCUGAAAGAUGUCUGUCAAGAUUAAAAGAGUUUUAGCUUUAAAUUUAGGUAAAGCAUGCUAGGUUUUCUUCUUACUCAUGAUCAUCCUCUUGAAUGCGAUCUAUUUGCUUUCUUUGGCUUCUUCUAUAUUUACUAAAGAAAUAUUCUACUCUUUCAUUUUGUAGUUCUGAAUCUUUUGGUUCAUAUUAGUUUUUCUUUCUUUUUUUCUUUUUUGUUUUCUUGAUUAAAGUUUACUGGUGGGUGCAAUUCCUAUAGUUUGCUUGCAGCAUAUUUAGGGAUUACUGAUCAAGUUUUCUCAAUAAUUUUUUUGCUGGUUCAUGUGUUUGUAAAGUUUUCCAGAUCAUUCUAACACCGAUGAUCAUCGGUUUUUGUGGAUUGAAGUUUUGCUUGACGGAAGAGAGAGGUCACUCUUGUUGACAUUCAUGAAAGGGACAUGAUUGUGUUCAAGAGUGCCCUCUCUCUAUCCGUCAUACUUUUGCGAUCGACAAGCAUGUAAUCCUUUUAAAUGCAGGUCUUCGCUUAGGUUUUCGACCUGUUUUUACUGCAUCCAAGCUCCAACUUCACAAGGUGAUUUUCCUCGUUAACAAAGACACAGAAGAGCGAAAGACUAUAAAGCAUCAAAGCUAUUCAUGCCUCUGAAAAGUUUGCGUCAUCUCCCACAACUGAUUUUUUGCAGGGAUGAGGACAGAGGUCACUCUUUUCGAUAUUCAUGAAAGGGACACGAGGCAUGUCGUUAUAUAUGGAGGUCUUCCCUUAGGCAUUUGACGUGUCCCUGCUGCAUCCAAGCCACAACUUCACAAGGUAGCUCCGAGAACAAAGAUACAAAAGAGCCAAAGACUUGGUGACACCAAAGGAUCUCUAAAAGAGGUUCAUCUGGAGAUGGCCGGUUGUAGACCAGAAGAACUAGUUCAUUGAAGAUCCCCGGAUACUUAUUUUAUUGCGCUCCUCCUAAUCUGCAGCAAAACAGGUAGGAAUAGUCUGCAGCCACUCCCUGAUGGACAGGCACACUCGCUCCCAAAUGGUUGAUAGUGAAAAUCUAGUUAUGUUUAGAUGCUCUUGUCAGGUAUGCCGUUAAUAUCAAAGCAUUUUGUUGAAGCAGUAAACUUAGCUCGUGUAUGUUUUUAAACCUCAUCAAAUAUUCUUUUGUUAGUC